GAUCAUGGCUCAGGAUGAACGCUAGCUACAGGCUUUAACACAUGCAAGUCGAGGGGCAGCACUAGGUAGCAAUACUGAGGUGGCGACCGGCGCACGGGUGCGUAACGCGUAUCCAACCUUCCCGUUACUCAGGGAUAGCCUUCCGAAAGGGAGAUUAAUACCGGAUGGUGUUCAAGUGGUGCAUAUUAUUUGAACUAAAGAUUUAUCGGUAGCGGAUGGGGAUGCGUACCAUUAGAUAGUAGGCGGGGUAACGGCCCACCUAGUCGACGAUGGUUAGGGGUUCUGAGAGGAAGGUCCCCCACACUGGAACUGAGACACGGUCCAGACUCCUACGGGAGGCAGCAGUGAGGAAUAUUGGUCAAUGGUCGAGAGACUGAACCAGCCAUGCCGCGUGAAGGUCACGGCCCUAUGGGUCUUAAACUUCUUUUGUAAGGGAGCAAUAAGUCUCACGUGUGGGAUGAUGAGAGUACCUUACGAAUAAGCAUCGGCUAACUCCGUG
This 499-nucleotide ribosomal RNA is filed under the name uncultured bacterium. Its description in RNAcentral is "bacterial SSU rRNA". It matches the Rfam family "Bacterial small subunit ribosomal RNA", at positions 15 to 507 of the family's 1533-position model. The record is from RNAcentral.